GAAAAAUUAGUUUAAGUUAAAAUAUUAAUUUGUCAAAUUAAAGAUAUAUUAUUUUUUA
RNAcentral lists this transfer RNA (58 nucleotides) under Sinocentrus brevicornis. RNAcentral describes it as "tRNA-Asp". Lineage: Eukaryota; Metazoa; Arthropoda; Insecta; Hemiptera; Membracidae. The record is from RNAcentral.